GUGAAUUUAGUUUAAAAGAAAACAUUUGAUUCGCAUUCAAAAACCCUAAUUUAAGCCUUAGAACUCACA
This 69-nucleotide transfer RNA is filed under the name Dermasterias imbricata. RNAcentral describes it as "tRNA-Ala". It matches the Rfam family "tRNA". Rfam says of the family: Transfer RNA (tRNA) molecules are approximately 80 nucleotides in length. Lineage: Eukaryota; Metazoa; Echinodermata; Asteroidea; Valvatida; Poraniidae. The record is from RNAcentral.